AUUUUGGGGGAUUUUUACCAAAUGGGUGAAACCCUGACGGACCAAUUCCGCGGGGGGGAGGAAGGUUUUUGGUUGGUAACCUUCUUUUCUCGGGGAAGAAUAAUGACGGUACCUGAGGAAUCAGCAUCGGCUAACUCCGUGCCAGCAGCCGCGGUAAUACGGAGGAUGCAAGCGUUAUCCGGAAUGAUUGGGCGUAAAGCGUCCGCAGGUGGCAAUGUAAGUCUGCUGUCAAAGCGUCUGGCUCAACCAGAUAAAGGCAGUGGAAACUACAUAGCUAGAGUAAGGUAGGGGUAGAGGGAAUUCCUGGUGUAGCGGUGAAAUGCGUAGAGAUCAGGAAGAACACCGGUGGCGAAAGCGCUCUGCUGGACCCUGUCUGACACUGAGGGACCAAAAGGCAAGU
This 400-nucleotide ribosomal RNA is filed under the name Tolypothrix campylonemoides VB511288. RNAcentral describes it as "bacterial SSU rRNA". It matches the Rfam family "Bacterial small subunit ribosomal RNA", at positions 350 to 766 of the family's 1533-position model. Lineage: Bacteria; Bacillati; Cyanobacteriota; Cyanophyceae; Nostocales; Tolypothrichaceae. The record is from RNAcentral.